Non-coding RNA from Phascolarctos cinereus (koala), 934 nucleotides. The record is from RefSeq and is a predicted model, not a curated record. NCBI's taxonomy places the organism in Eukaryota, Metazoa, Chordata, Mammalia, Diprotodontia, Phascolarctidae.
UUCUAAAAAGGAAUACGGAAAAUACAUGGCAUCAUUUUGCUAGUGAAAACAAAAGUAUUUCAAUGCAUGGCCUUGAUUGGAUAGGACUGAUAUUGAUCAUAUUAUAAUUAGUAAUUAAUUGGAAGCAUUUUUUGUUAAAAUGUUUCAAGUGCACAAGAUUUAAAGUGGACAUAAUUUGUAUCUUUAAAUCAUUGUGUUGCUAAAAACCUAUGCUAUACAAUAAAUGGUUUUUGUUGGGGUUUUUUUUUAGUAGACGAUAAUCUUUUUAAGUGCAGGGACUGUAUCUGAUUGUGUAUUUGUGUCCCUAGUACUUAGCACAGAGUCUGUAAGUCACAUAGUAAGCUGUUAAUGCUUUUUCAUUCAUUUUUCGUACAUUGAUAGGUGUGGAUAUACUCCAAAGCCUUAACUCUAUGCAUUCCCAGUGAGGCAUGGGUAGAUUUCCUACUUUCAGGAAGAUCCCAAUAGGGCACCCCCUUUGGGAAAGGAGGCAUGGAGAAUAGGAGGAGCUCCCCCCUAUCCCUGACACCUGCUGGAAAGGGGAUUUCCAGAGAGAACAUUCAGAAAAAUUUCUGAACAAUCAAAGUUAUCCAUGAAGGAAAUGGGCUGUUUGAUGAGGUUCUUAAAGCAAACAUAUAAUGUCAGAUCCAGAGGGAACCCUAGAACACAGAAUACCUGAGCUAGAAGGGAACUUAGAGGUCAUCUAAGCAUGGCAUCACCUCCCUGAUCUCAUGGUUCUCUUUGAAGAGCAAAGAGCAACGACAACAGCAGCAUGGAGUGGUAGAGAGAGCUCUAGACUUGUGGCCAGUCAAGCUGUUCUGGGACCAGCUUUAACCUGCUCGCAAAGCAGACUGUACAUUUUCAGCAUGAGGAGUGUAAGCAUUUAAAUACACCUCAGGAAGCCAGCGAAUGCUUGCUUUAUUGUUUUGUCGCUUGC